UACGUAGGGGGCAAGCGUUGUCCGGAAUCAUUGGGCGUAAAGAGCGUGUAGGCGGCUCGAUAAGUCUGCUGUGAAAGUCCAGGGCUCAACCCUGGAAGGCCGGUGGAAACUGUCGGGCUAGAGUCCGGAAGAGGCGAGUGGAAUUCCCGGUGUAGCGGUGAAAUGCGCAGAUAUCAGGAGGAACACCAAUAGCGAAGGCAGCUCGCUGGGACGGUACUGACGCUAAGGCGCGAAAGCGUGGGGAGCGAACAGG
Molecule: ribosomal RNA, 253 nt
Filed under: uncultured bacterium
Lineage: Bacteria
Description: partial 16S ribosomal RNA
Rfam family: Bacterial small subunit ribosomal RNA
Source: RNAcentral